RNAcentral lists this ribosomal RNA (497 nucleotides) under uncultured bacterium. RNAcentral's name for it is "partial 16S ribosomal RNA". It matches the Rfam family "Bacterial small subunit ribosomal RNA", at positions 28 to 507 of the family's 1533-position model. The record is from RNAcentral.
GAUGAACGCUGGCGGCGUGCCUAAUACAUGCAAGUCGAGCGAACAGAUAAGGAGCUUGCUCCUUUGACGUUAGCGGCGGACGGGUGAGUAACACGUGGGUAACCUACCUAUAAGACUGGGAUAACUUCGGGAAACCGGAGCUAAUACCGGAUAACAUUUGGAACCGCAUGGUUCUAAAGUGAAAGAUGGUUUUGCUAUCACUUAUAGAUGGACCCGCGCCGUAUUAGCUAGUUGGUAAGGUAACGGCUUACCAAGGCGACGAUACGUAGCGGACCUGAGAGGGUGAUCGGCCACACUGGAACUGAGACACGGUCCAGACUCCUACGGGAGGCAGCAGUAGGGAAUCUUCCGCAAUGGGCGAAAGCCUGACGGAGCAACGCCGCGUGAGUGAUGAAGGGUUUCGGCUCGUAAAACUCUGUUAUUAGGGAAGAACAAACGUGUAAGUAACUGUGCACGUCUUGACGGUACCUAAUCAGAAAGCCACGGCUAACUACGUG